This 343-nucleotide ribosomal RNA is filed under the name Ligia baudiniana. RNAcentral's name for it is "partial 12S ribosomal RNA". Lineage: Eukaryota; Metazoa; Arthropoda; Malacostraca; Isopoda; Ligiidae. The record is from RNAcentral.
CUACAGCGGUAAAAUCUACACCUAAAAUCAGAAGGCAAAAACGAGGAUUAGAUACCCUCUUAUUCUUCUGGCCAAGGUAGUAACUAGUUAUGUUCUUCAAACCUAAAGGAUUUGGCGGUGCUCUACCCCAUCAGAGGAAUCUGCUGACGAAAUUACGCGCUAUACCCUACCCAAGUGCUUGUAUACCGUCGUCUAGAUAGAAUCAGGAGGAUUUAUCACACCUAAGGCAGAUCAAGGUGCAGCCUACCUGGGGAUUACAAUCCCCAUUAAGUUGGAUUUGAAAGUAAGGUUUAAAUACAGGUGAAUCGGCAAUUGAGCAUGCACAUAUCGCCCGUCACUCUCA